Molecule: long non-coding RNA, 247 nt
Organism: Chiroxiphia lanceolata (lance-tailed manakin)
Lineage: Eukaryota; Metazoa; Chordata; Aves; Passeriformes; Pipridae
Exons: 3
Source: RefSeq, a predicted model, not a curated record
GCAGAGAAGAGGCAAACGAAAAGAGCAAACACUUGUUACUGGAGUGAGCAAAAGGAGGGCACUGGGGGACCCACCAGCAACUUGUGUCAGCAGCUUGUGCUCUCCCACGGCUCCUGCCAAGAGGGAGAUCUGAUCCAGAUAUAGUCCUGCUUGAAGCCUGAAAGAGGAGGGCAUGGCUCUGCACUUCAAUUUGAGAUCAAAGAGGGGAGCACCGCUCCUCCCUCCUGGCCUCCUGUGGAAAUGUGAG